AUCGAGACACCUCGCGGAGAGGUGGCAGAGCGGUUGAAUGCACCGCACUCGAAAUGCGGCAUGCCUGCAAGGGCAUCGGGGGUUCGAAUCCCCCCCUCUCCGCCACAUUAAUCCCUAGAGUGCAGAGCAAGCCGGUGAACCGUUUCGCGCCUGCGAUGUACACGGGAUUGUAC
RNAcentral lists this unclassified non-coding RNA (173 nucleotides) under Methylobacterium symbioticum. Its description in RNAcentral is "Methylobacterium sp. SB0023/3 sX4". The stretch from base 16 to 102 matches the Rfam family "tRNA". From Rfam's summary of the family: Transfer RNA (tRNA) molecules are approximately 80 nucleotides in length. Their secondary structure includes four short double-helical elements and three loops (D, anti-codon, and T loops). Lineage: Bacteria; Pseudomonadati; Pseudomonadota; Alphaproteobacteria; Hyphomicrobiales; Methylobacteriaceae. The record is from RNAcentral.